UCCGGUGGCGAUAUCGAGGAGGCCAUACCCGAUCCCAUCUCGAACUCGGAAGUCAAGCUCCUCGGAGCCGAUGGUACUGCACGGGCGACUGUGUGGGAGAGUAGGACGCUGCCGGGA
Molecule: ribosomal RNA, 117 nt
Filed under: Deltaproteobacteria bacterium
Lineage: Bacteria; Pseudomonadati; Myxococcota; Myxococcia
Source: RNAcentral